AGUCUCGGCUCGCACCGCCUCAGCUCCUCCGGGCCCUCUCGGGGUGCUGCUCGGAGGGGAGUCCAGUACUGGGCGUUUUUACCUUAGUUCCUUAUUCUGCACCCCCCCACCCCGCCUCCUCCUUGCCUGUGUGCGCCCCCACCCUCUUUAUCCCGGGGGAGCGUGACUCGGCCUCAGGGCACCCACGGUCCUGGGAGCUGACAGGGAAUUCCUCUUGUGCCCGACGAAUAUUCCGUGGACACACAUUUGCUCCGCACGCGCUGUCUGCAAUGUAAUUCGACAAGUUUCUAUUUUGUUGAAUUACUUUUGAAAGUUCUUCCGUCCAGGGCGCAUGGCUCUGCAGAGCCUUCUCCUCCUUCUCUGGAGAACCCCAGGGACUUAAGCGGUAGCCUCCUCGCUGACAGGGUCUCCACUUUGUCCUGGGGGGCGAGGGGGCUGGCAAUGCGCUCACGUGGGUGUGUGCUUUGUAAAAUAUGCAAAAGUGAAAAAAAAUAUGUUUGUGGGGCAGGCUGGCGAGCAGUGGCAUGAUACAGUUCACUGCAGCCUUGAACUCCUGGGCUGCAGUGAGCCUCCUGCCUCGGCCUCCCAAAGUGCUGGGAUCACAGGCAUGGGCCACCACGCCCGGCAAAAGUAAAAAUUUUUUUGCUUUUUUUUGAGAUGGAGUUUUGCCCUUGUUGCCCAGGCUGGAGUGCAAAGGCGGGGUCUUGGCUCACUGCAACCUCUGCCUCCCGGGUUCAAGCGAUUCUCUUGCCUCAGCUUCCCGAGAAGCUGGGAUGACAGGUGCAUGUCACCACGCCCGGCUAAUUUUUGUAUUUUUAGCAGAGACAGGGUUUCUCUUGCCUCAGCUUCCCGAGAAGCUGGGAUGACAGGUGCAUGUCACCACGCCCGGCUAAUUUUUGUAUUUUUAGCAGAGACAGGGUUUCUCCAUAUUGGCCAGGCUGGUCUCGAACUCCCGACCUCAGGUGAUCCGCCUGCUUCGGCCUCCCAAAAUGCUAGGAUUACAGUUGUGAGCCACCACGCCCGACCUAAAAGUAAAAUCUUUCAAGCACAAGUUAAGACCACUGUAUCUUUCCGCCUUGAUUCUCC
Molecule: long non-coding RNA, 1086 nt
Filed under: Homo sapiens (human)
Lineage: Eukaryota; Metazoa; Chordata; Mammalia; Primates; Hominidae
Description: non-protein coding lnc-ATP6V1C2-6:1
Source: RNAcentral